CCUGGUAGUGGGGGACAACGUGGGGAAACUCACGCUAAUACCGCAUACGCCCUACGGGGGAAAGCGGGGGCUCUUCGGACCUCGCGCUAUCAGAUGAGCCUGCGUUAGAUUAGCUAGUUGGUAGGGUAAAGGCCUACCAAGGCGACGAUCUAUAGCUGGUCUGAGAGGACGAUCAGCCACACUGGGACUGAGACACGGCCCAGACUCCUACGGGAGGCAGCAGUGGGGAAUAUUGGACAAUGGGCGCAAGCCUGAUCCAGCAAUACCGCGUGUGUGAAGAAGGCCUUAGGGUUGUAAAGCACUUUCAAUGGGGAGGAAAACCUGCCGGUCAAUACCCGGUAGCUUGACAUUACCUUUAGAAGAAGCACCGGCUAACUCCGUGCCAGCAGCCGCGGUAAUACGGAGGGUGCGAGCGUUAAUCGGAAUUACUGGGCGUAAAGCGUGCGUAGGCGGUUCGUUAAGUCAGAUGUGAAAGCCCCGGGCUUAACCUGGGAACUGCAUUUGAAACUGGCGGACUAGAGUUGAGUAGAGGGGAGUGGAAUUUCAGGUGUAGCGGUGAAAUGCGUAGAUAUCUGAAGGAACACCAGUGGCGAAGGCGACUCCCUGGACUCAAACUGACACUGAGGUACGAAAGCGUGGGUAGCAAACAGGAUUAGAUACCCUGGUAGUCC
RNAcentral lists this ribosomal RNA (671 nucleotides) under uncultured bacterium. RNAcentral describes it as "bacterial SSU rRNA". It matches the Rfam family "Bacterial small subunit ribosomal RNA", at positions 129 to 796 of the family's 1533-position model. The record is from RNAcentral.